AAAUAAGUCACAAAAUACUCUAAUGACUUGAUCAGUGCUUUGAAUAAUUUCGAUCCAAUGUGUUGCCAGGUUGUUGUCUUAGGCAACCACACCU
This 94-nucleotide transfer RNA is filed under the name Candidozyma auris. RNAcentral describes it as "[Candida] auris tRNA-Arg". The record is from RNAcentral. Lineage: Eukaryota; Fungi; Ascomycota; Pichiomycetes; Serinales; Metschnikowiaceae.